RNAcentral lists this small RNA (26 nucleotides) under Bombyx mori (domestic silkworm). Its description in RNAcentral is "ovarian small RNA-13431". Lineage: Eukaryota; Metazoa; Arthropoda; Insecta; Lepidoptera; Bombycidae. The record is from RNAcentral.
CAUGUAUCGAUGCGUGAAGAGGCCUU